RNAcentral lists this ribosomal RNA (253 nucleotides) under uncultured bacterium. RNAcentral describes it as "partial 16S ribosomal RNA". It matches the Rfam family "Bacterial small subunit ribosomal RNA", at positions 524 to 776 of the family's 1533-position model. The record is from RNAcentral.
UACGAAGGGGGCUAGCGUUGUUCGGAAUUACUGGGCGUAAAGCGCACGUAGGCGGACGUUUAAGUCAGAGGUGAAAUCCCAGGGCUCAACCCUGGAACUGCCUUUGAUACUGGACGUCUUGAGUACGGGAGAGGUGAGUGGAAUUCCGAGUGUAGAGGUGAAAUUCGUAGAUAUUCGGAAGAACACCAGUGGCGAAGGCGGCUCACUGGCCCGUAACUGACGCUGAGGUGCGAAAGCGUGGGGAGCAAACAGG